Molecule: unclassified non-coding RNA, 207 nt
Filed under: Hevea brasiliensis (rubber tree)
Lineage: Eukaryota; Viridiplantae; Streptophyta; Magnoliopsida; Malpighiales; Euphorbiaceae
Source: RNAcentral
GGGGACUAAACAUAGUAACAAGACAAUCCAAACAAAUGCUCCAAAUAUGGAGCUCUUUUAAUCCCUAAAGUAUAUAGAAAAUUUAUCAACGUUAUUUACUCAAAUACGUUCAAUCAAAUUAUGCUUUCAUAUCGUGAGAUCCUAAUAAAAGACUAGAGAGGCCAAGAACAAGAGCAGAGAUGUAAAUCCAGUAGAUGCAAAUUUUUG